GAUGAACGCUGGCGGCGUGCCUAAUACAUGCCAGUCGAGCGAACAGACGAGGAGCUUGCUCCUCUGACGUUAGCGGCGGACGGGUGAGUAACACGUGGAUAACCUACCUAUAAGACUGGGAUAACUUCGGGAAACCGGAGCUAAUACCGGAUAAUAUAUUGAACCGCAUGGUUCAAUAGUGAAAGACGGUUUUGCUGUCACUUAUAGAUGGAUCCGCGCCGCAUUAGCUAGUUGGUAAGGUAACGGCUUACCAAGGCAACGAUGCGUAGCCGACCUGAGAGGGUGAACGGCCACACUGGAACUGAGACACGGUCCAGACUCCUACGGGAGGCAGCAGUAGGGAAUCUUCCGCAAUGGGCGAAAGCCUGACGGAGCAACGCCGCGUGAGUGAUGAAGGUCUUCGGAUCGUAAAACUCUGUUAUUAGGGAAGAACAAAUGUGUAAGUAACUAUGCACGUCUUGACGGUACCUAAUCAGAAAGCCACGGCUAACUACGUG
RNAcentral lists this ribosomal RNA (497 nucleotides) under uncultured bacterium. RNAcentral's name for it is "partial 16S ribosomal RNA". It matches the Rfam family "Bacterial small subunit ribosomal RNA", at positions 28 to 507 of the family's 1533-position model. The record is from RNAcentral.